UGGUGUUUUUUUCUCUUCCUUUUUUACCAAAUGAGCUUUUGAAACUGCAGCUUGUUCUGAAUUCUGCACAGGUUCUUGUGGUUUUGUAACAAGUGGGACCUUUUGGGACUCUUUAACAGAAGCUGGAGUGCAACUUAUAGAAGCAGGUCCAUUGUCAAUUGUUUUAGGGGGAGGACUGCUUUUCCUCUCCUCAUAAGCAUGGUUUAUAUUCUUCAUUUGCUCAGGCACAGCACUCUCUGGCCCUGGUCUAAAAAAUGAAGCCUUCUCCUCACUCACCUUUGGAGGUGAUUUUGCUUUACCAUCCCUAGGAACCCAUCUCUUCUCUUCAUACUUUGCACG
Molecule: unclassified non-coding RNA, 339 nt
Filed under: Hevea brasiliensis (rubber tree)
Lineage: Eukaryota; Viridiplantae; Streptophyta; Magnoliopsida; Malpighiales; Euphorbiaceae
Source: RNAcentral